CUGUUCUCUGUUGCUCACUUCUGGUCAGCACACCCACAUUCAGCUCAUCAAAGUUUAGGAGAUGAAAUACAGAGUUUCACAUCAAAGCCAUCAGCGCUGUCAAAAGUUUCAGUUUCUUCGAGACCGAAUUGCAAAAGCUCCCCAACAAUGGACUUAUCUCCCUACCAAGAAUUUCUGGCAUCGAAGGACCUGUGAAGAAGGCAAGGGAAGAAAGAGGUGGCUGGUGCUGCAGUGUUUGCCAUUGAUCCAGAGGUUUUCCAGUGGACCUCAGGUUCCUGCAGGCUGCCUGGGCCCGAGCCAGGGCGUGACCACACAGAAGAUGAGGAAGGGGAGCUCUGCCUGUUCUCUGUUGCUCACUUCUGGUCAGCACACCCACAUUCAGCUCAUCAAAGUUUAGGAGGUGUAGUUUUGUAUUCACAGUCAUCAGAAAAAGAAUGACAUGAAUUACAACACCCAACUUUUCAGAUCUGAGAAUGUUUGACAUGCCAGGUGUCAUGAGGAAUCUGACUUGUUCUCAGACAUAGCCCAGAAAAGUAAAAGCAAAGUACUUUUGCACAAGGGUGUGCUACCAAAUCAGGUCUGCAGAGCAAUCACACCUGGGUUGGCAGUCCACAUCCCUAAUGCAGCUCUGACCCUUGACCUGGUGAAACAAAUUGAGGGGUACAAUUUAUGACUUUGGUUAUAAUUGAGGUAUAAUUGAGACUCUUCAUUUCUGUCUAAAGUUUCCUUAAAAAUAGAAUUUAAUCCUUCUGCUAACCAUUAACAUAUAGUGUUAGGAUCAUUGGAUUAGAAGAGCACUUGACUUUGGUUUGGUACGGACACAAUAGUUAAUGUUGACUGAU
This is a long non-coding RNA of Sciurus carolinensis (gray squirrel), 842 nucleotides long. RefSeq lists it as uncharacterized. The transcript has 3 exons. The record is from RefSeq and is a predicted model, not a curated record. NCBI's taxonomy places the organism in Eukaryota, Metazoa, Chordata, Mammalia, Rodentia, Sciuridae.